CGUAGGUGGCAAGCGUUGUCCGGAAUUAUUGGGCGUAAAGCGCGCGCAGGCGGUCCUUUAAGUCUGAUGUGAAAGCCCACGGCUCAACCGUGGAGGGUCAUUGGAAACUGGGGGACUUGAGUACAGAAGAGAAGAGUGGAAUUCCACGUGUAGCGGUGAAAUGCGUAGAGAUGUGGAGGAACACCAGUGGCGAAGGCGACUCUUUGGUCUGUAACUGACGCUGAGGCGCGAAAGCGUGGGGAGCAAACAGGAUUAGAUACCCUGGUAGUCCACGCUGUAAACGAUGAGUGCUAAGUGUUAGAGGGUUUCCGCCCUUUAGUGCUGCAGCUAACGCGUUAAGCACUCCGCCUGGGGAGUACGGCCGCAAGGCUG
RNAcentral lists this ribosomal RNA (372 nucleotides) under uncultured organism. RNAcentral's name for it is "bacterial SSU rRNA". It matches the Rfam family "Bacterial small subunit ribosomal RNA", at positions 526 to 896 of the family's 1533-position model. The record is from RNAcentral.